This 515-nucleotide ribosomal RNA is filed under the name uncultured bacterium. RNAcentral describes it as "partial 16S ribosomal RNA". It matches the Rfam family "Bacterial small subunit ribosomal RNA", at positions 28 to 523 of the family's 1533-position model. The record is from RNAcentral.
GAUGAACGCUGUCGGCGUGCCUAAUACAUGCAAGUCGAGCGAAUGGAUUAAGAGCUUGCUCUUAUGAAGUUAGCGGCGGACGGGUGAGUAACACGUGGGUAACCUGCCCAUAAGACUGGGAUAACUCCGGGAAACCGGGGCUAAUACCGGAUAACAUUUUGAACCGCAUGGUUCGAAAUUGAAAGGCGGCUUCGGCUGUGACUUAUGGAUGGACCCGCGUCGCAUUAGCUAGUUGGUGAGGUAACGGCUCACCAAGGCAACGAAGCGUAGCCGACCUGAGAGGGUGAUCGGCCACACUAGGACUGAGACACGGCCCAGACUCCUACGGGAGGCAGCAGUAGGGAAUCUUCCGCAAUGGACGAAAGUCUGACGGAGCAACGCCGCGUGAGUGAUGAAGGCUUUCGGGUCGUAAAACUCUGUUGUUAGGGAAGAACAAGUGCUAGUUGAAUAAGCUGGCACCUUGACGGUACCUAACCAGAAAGCCACGGCUAACUACGUGCCAGCCGCCGCAGUAA